UGAGGGAUUUUGCGCAAUGGGCGGAAGCCUGACGCAGCAACGCCGCGUGAGUGAAGAAGGCCUUUGGGUCGUAAAGCUCUGUCGACAGGGAAGAAGUUAAUGUAAUUUAAUAGAUUGCGUUAUUGACGGUACCUGAGAAGGAAGCAUCGGCUAACUCCGUGCCAGCAGCCGCGGUAAUACGGGGGAUGCAAGCGUUAUUCGGAAUUAUUGGGCGUAAAGGGCGCGUAGGCGGUUUUAAAAGUCAGGUGUGAAAGCCCGGGGCUUAACCCCGGAAGAGCAUUUGAAACUAUAAGACUUGAGUACGGUAGAGGAAAGCGGAAUUCCUGGUGUAGAGGUGAAAUUCGUAGAUAUCAGGAGGAACACCGGUGGCGAAGGCGGCUUUCUGGGCCUGUACUGACGCUGAGGCGCGAAGGCGUGGGUAGCGAACAGGAUUAGAUACCCUGGUAGUCCACGCAGUAAACGUUGUACACUUGGUGUUGCGGGUAUUGACCCCUGCAGUGCCGAAGCAGACGCGAUAAGUGUACCGCCUGGGGAGUACGGUCGCAAGACUA
Molecule: ribosomal RNA, 551 nt
Filed under: uncultured delta proteobacterium
Lineage: Bacteria; Deltaproteobacteria
Description: bacterial SSU rRNA
Rfam family: Bacterial small subunit ribosomal RNA
Source: RNAcentral